Molecule: small RNA, 116 nt
Organism: Haemophilus influenzae Rd KW20
Lineage: Bacteria; Pseudomonadati; Pseudomonadota; Gammaproteobacteria; Pasteurellales; Pasteurellaceae
Rfam family: Haemophilus regulatory RNA responsive to iron
About the family: Involved in iron homeostasis in Haemophilus species. Orthologues exist only among other Pasteurellacae.
Source: Rfam
AUAUCUGUUACUAUACGCACAUCUGUUAAGCGAUUGCAGGUUGCUCCAACAGGUAGAGUAGAAAGUAAAUUCGUUAGGGUUCAAAAAGGCUGAAGGUUUAAACUUCAGCCUUUUUU